Ochotona princeps (American pika) is the source of this 138-nucleotide small nucleolar RNA. Its record names the gene SNORA74. It matches the Rfam family "Small nucleolar RNA SNORA74". From Rfam's summary of the family: U19 belongs to the H/ACA class of snoRNAs. snoRNAs bind a number of proteins (including dyskerin, Gar1p and Nop10p in the case of the H/ACA class) to form snoRNP complexes. This class are thought to guide the sites of modification of uridines to pseudouridines by forming direct base pairing interactions with substrate RNAs. The record is from Ensembl. Lineage: Eukaryota; Metazoa; Chordata; Mammalia; Lagomorpha; Ochotonidae.
CCCAGCUGUAGACAACUGUCUAGGAUGACUGUGGCAGGCAAGUGUUGCACUGCUGGGAGAAAAGCAGCUGAGAGCUGGCAGGCAUCCUGGGCCUGGGUAAUGCCAAAUUUGUGUUAACUUCACCAGUGUGCCAACAUA